This 301-nucleotide ribosomal RNA is filed under the name uncultured bacterium. RNAcentral's name for it is "partial 16S ribosomal RNA". It matches the Rfam family "Bacterial small subunit ribosomal RNA", at positions 509 to 807 of the family's 1533-position model. The record is from RNAcentral.
CAGCAGCCGCGGUAACACGGAGGGUGCAAGCGUUAAUCGGAAAUACUGGGCGUAAAGGGUGCGUAGGCGGUUAGUUAAGUCUGUCGUGAAAUCCCCGGGCUCAACCUGGGAAUGGCGAUGGAUACUGGCUGGCUAGAGUGUGUCAGAGGAUGGUGGAAUUUCCGGUGUAGCGGUGAAAUGCGUAGAGAUCGGAAGGAACAUCAGUGGCGAAGGCGGCCAUCUGGGACAACACUGACGCUGAAGCACGAAAGCGUGGGGAGCAAACAGGAUUAGAUACCCGCGUAGUCCCUGUCUCUUAUAC